Molecule: unclassified non-coding RNA, 240 nt
Filed under: soil metagenome
Description: partial contains 5.8S ribosomal RNA, internal transcribed spacer 2, and large subunit ribosomal RNA
Source: RNAcentral
AAGACUAUAGACCUGCGGAGUACCUGCGGAAGGAUCAUUAAAAAGUUUUGCCCUUCGGGGUGAUGCGGCACGACGCCGUCGCGGUUCUCCGCGGCGGUUGAAGGCUCGAAACCCAAUGUGAAAACCCCCAAGUUGCUUCGGCAGCGCGCCCUCCGGGAUUCGUUUCCCGGCGGGCGGUCAGCCUGCCGACGGCACCCAGGAAACCCUUUCUUACUUUGUAUUAUCAACCGUCUGAACGCG